AGUGAACGCUGGCGGUAGGCCUAACACAUGCAAGUCGAACGGCAGCACAGUAAGAGCUUGCUCUUACGGGUGGCGAGUGGCGGACGGGUGAGGAAUACAUCGGAAUCUACUUUUUCGUGGGGGAUAAUGUAGGGAAACUUACGCUAAUACCGCAUACGACCUACGGGUGAAAGCAGGGGAUCCUCGGACCUUGCGCGAUUGAAUGAGCCGAUGUCGGAUUAGCUAGUUGGCGGGGUAAAGGCCCACCAAGGCGACGAUCCGUAGCUGGUCUGAGAGGAUGAUCAGCCACACUGGAACUGAGACACGGUCCAGACUCCUACGGGAGGCGGCAGUGGGGAAUAUUGGACAAUGGGCGCAAGCCUGAUCCAGCCAUACCGCGUGGGUGAAGAAGGCCUUCGGGUUGUAAAGCCCUUUUGUUGGGAAAGAAAAGCAGCAGGUUAAUACCCCGCUGUUCUGACGGUACCCAAAGAAUAAGCACCGGCUAACUUCGUG
Molecule: ribosomal RNA, 492 nt
Filed under: uncultured bacterium
Lineage: Bacteria
Description: partial 16S ribosomal RNA
Rfam family: Bacterial small subunit ribosomal RNA
Source: RNAcentral